GACAGAGGGUGCAAACGUUGUUCGGAAUUACUGGGCGUAAAGCGCGUGUAGGCUGCUCGGAAAGUCGGAUGUGAAAGCCCUGGGCUCAACCCAGGAAGUGCAUUCGAAACUCCCGAGCUUGAGUUCCGGAGAGGAAGGCGGAAUUCUCGGUGUAGAGGUGAAAUUCGUAGAUAUCGAGAGGAACACCGGUGGCGAAGGCGGCCUUCUGGACGGUGACUGACGCUGAGACGCGAAAGCGUGGGGAGCAAACAGGAUUAGAAACCCCCGUAGUCC
Molecule: ribosomal RNA, 273 nt
Filed under: uncultured bacterium
Lineage: Bacteria
Description: partial 16S ribosomal RNA
Rfam family: Bacterial small subunit ribosomal RNA
Source: RNAcentral